UACGUAGGGUGCAAGCGUUAAUCGGAAUUACUGGGCGUAAAGCGUGCGCAGGCGGUUAUGUAAGACAGGUGUGAAAUCCCAGGGCUUAACCUUGGAACUGCAUUUGUGACUGCAUAGCUAGAGUACGGUAGAGGGGGAUGGAAUUCCGCGUGUAGCAGUGAAAUGCGUAGAUAUGCGGAGGAACACCGAUGGCGAAGGCAAUCCCCUGG
This 209-nucleotide ribosomal RNA is filed under the name uncultured bacterium. RNAcentral's name for it is "partial 16S ribosomal RNA". It matches the Rfam family "Bacterial small subunit ribosomal RNA", at positions 524 to 732 of the family's 1533-position model. The record is from RNAcentral.